Molecule: ribosomal RNA, 440 nt
Filed under: uncultured bacterium
Lineage: Bacteria
Description: partial 16S ribosomal RNA
Rfam family: Bacterial small subunit ribosomal RNA
Source: RNAcentral
CCUACGGGUGGCAGCAGUGGGGAAUAUUGCACAAUGGAGGAAACUCUGAUGCAGCGACGCCGCGUGAGUGAAGAAGUAUUUCGGUAUGUAAAGCUCUGUCAGCAGGGAAGAAAAUGAGGGUACCUGAUUAUGAAGCCCCGGCUAACUACGUGCCAGCAGCCGCGGGAAAACGUAGGGGGCAAGCGUUGUACGGAUUUAAUGUGGGUAAAGGGAGCGGAGGCGGCAGCACAAGUCUGAAGUGAAAGGCCGGGGCUUAACCCCGGAAGUGCUUUGGAGACUGUGCAGCUAGAGUGCAGGAGAGGUAAGUGGAAUUCCUAGUGUAGCGGUGAAAUGCGUAGAUAUUAGGAGGAACACCAGUGGCGAAGGCGGCUUACUGGUCUGUAACUGACGUUGAGGCUCGAAAGCGUGGGGAGCAAACAGGAUUAGAUACCCGGGUAGUC